This 478-nucleotide ribosomal RNA is filed under the name uncultured bacterium. RNAcentral's name for it is "partial 16S ribosomal RNA". It matches the Rfam family "Bacterial small subunit ribosomal RNA", at positions 28 to 523 of the family's 1533-position model. The record is from RNAcentral.
GACGAACGCUGGCGGCGUGCUUAACACAUGCAAGUCGAACGGUAAGGCCCUUCGGGGUACACGAGUGGCGAACGGGUGAGUAACACGUGGGUGAUCUGCCCUGCACUUCGGGAUAAGCCUGGGAAACUGGGUCUAAUACCGGAUAGGACCACUGCCUGCAUGGGUGGUGGUGGAAAGCUUUUGCGGUGUGGGAUGGGCCCGCGGCCUAUCAGCUUGUUGGUGGGGUGAUGGCCUACCAAGGCGACGACGGGUAGCCGGCCUGGGAGGGUGACCGGCCACACUGGGACUGGGAUACGGCCCAGACUCCUGCGGGAGGCAGCAGUGGGGAAGAUUGGACAAUGGGCGCAAGCCUGAUGCAGCGACGCCGCGGGAGGGAUAACGGCCUUCGGGUUGUAAACCUCUUUCAGCACCGACGAAGCGCAAGUGACGGUAGGUGCAGAAGAAGGACCGGCCAACUACGUGCCAGCAGCCGCCGUAA